Long non-coding RNA from Thunnus maccoyii (southern bluefin tuna), 5771 nucleotides. RefSeq lists it as uncharacterized. Lineage: Eukaryota; Metazoa; Chordata; Actinopteri; Scombriformes; Scombridae. The record is from RefSeq and is a predicted model, not a curated record. The transcript is spliced from 3 exons.
UACUACAGAUGCACCUACAGCCAGUGCUGCAGUGCAUGUAAACCCUGCAGUGCAUGUAAACCCAGAGGAAGAGGCCUUCUCUCCACUAGCUCCUCAACCAUCUGUGCUUCACUUUGGUUCACAGUGUCACCUCAAGCCUUUACAUUGUUUAUCAGCUGGUGAUAUGUAAUGGAUCCCAGAGGAGGAAAUGAGUGAGUCAUCUGACGAGGAACUGUCAAAAGAGCCACUUCAGGAAUCUCACCCUGACCUCAAUGCUGCUGACAAGUUCAUUGUGUGCCAAAGCCAGCUGAUGUCCUUGUUUAACAUUUGUUAUGCCUGUUGUGCAUAAACCCAGGGAAACAUAGAGCAGCAGGAGGGAACUUAUGUAAAAAUAAAGCAAGUUAGAGAAUAUUUGUGAAUUCUGAUAGAAAAAGAAGUUCAUAAUCUGUAUGUUUUUAUUGAUUGUUUUGUUUUGUUUUGUUUUGAUCUAUUUAUAUACUUCAUUAUUUUUAUGGUAAUGGUAAUUUUUUGCCUUUCAUGUACAUCUCUUGGGUCUGUGCAACAUGUGGGCAUGAGCAUUAUUGGCAGAACCAGCCAAUGCUGCACCGAAACAUGCCUGCCUGCAACCUCUUAUUGUUUGGUGCCAUCCACUUUUUGGGUUGCAUGGCUACCCAGACCAUAAGAAUGCUGAAGCUGUUUGGGCUUCAGUGCAUCAGUGCCAGCACCUUCUUCUGCCAUCAACAACUGCACACAAUUCCUACCAUCGUACAGACAUGGCAGAAUGAACAGGCAGGGCUCGUCAGAGGUCUGAAUGAGAUGGGGGGUGGGCUGAUCCUCUCUGGUGACUGCAGGUAGUACACGUCGGCUUGCAUCGUUGAUAUAGAAAACAAGUCAAAACAGUAUGAUAUAAUAUAGUUUAAUGUAUCACUUUUUGUGCUUUAAUGUCUGACCACAGAUGUAAAUUAGCUAUGUAGCUAACUCUGGCCCAACAUUUGUGUUGUGUAUGGCCCCUCUUAAAUAAACUAAUUAAACUGUUUUUGACAUUGAUAGGUCAGACUGAGAUAGAUAGAUAGAUAGAUAGAUAGAUAGAUUGAGCAAUAUUUCAUGAUCUUUUCAGCUCCUUUAAUCACAGUCACAGAGCAGUGAGGUCACAUGAUAAAGAGGCAGAACCUGAUUGGUCCUCCAUUGGCAUUGGCAUAGCAUUGAUUGGUGCUUUGCAGAUGGAACCUUACAGGACUAAGUGAUUGAUUUUUGAAAUAGAACCUUUUCUUUUCUCAAAUGCAGCAACAUGGUGGACUUCAUGGUGAAGAUGAUGUGGGAGGUCAACCACAGUGGUCAUCUGUACACUUACUGCAUUCAAAGCUUAUGCCACGUUCACAUCAUUUUGUUCUGACUGUGAUUAUGAUCUGUCCAGACACAAAAACUGUUUACGUCAGCCUCUUCGUAAUUCUGAAAUAACCCCUGGUGAAAAGUACAGAAGUGGUGGAAAAUCUGUGGCAAAAUGGCUGCCAAGCCACUGUGUCUGGAAGUUACAUCUAAAUAAGAAACCGUAUUAAUGCAUAACUAAUGUUAACAAAAUUUAUUUUUUAUGUGUUAAAAUGUGGUUCCACUCAAAAUGUGUGUCACAUCAAAAGCAGCAAAUUUAGGCUAUUUUACAGGUGUGACUACAAGGCUCGUAGUCAGGGAAACCAUCAAAGAACAACAGGCUUGUUCAAGAUGAGCCAGGCCUGCACAGAAUCGAUCACCAGAAAUCACUGCACAAUGCAUGUCAGUUAGAUUUUUGUCCGACUUGAUCCCGACUUGCUUUGAUGUCAUGCACGCCUGGGCACCGAUAACCUCACAAGAUCAAGGUAACCACAGUUUUUAGAGUGGUAUUUCCAAGUCAUGUUAAUAGUUGAUACCAUAUCAUUCAGAACAUCGUCAAAACCGUGAUUGAUUCAAUAUAAGCUUGAGUAGAUUGAUCUGAAAACAUUUGAUUCAAUCAGGAUCAGAUCUAACAAGAUGUGACUACUUCUUUGACUUCCUGUAUAUUCUUUGAAGGCUGCUGGAAACUGUCCGACUUGUCUGCAGCUUUUUGUCACCGCCCCCUGCUGCUGCCGCCUGAUCUCGUCCACUGAGGCGCAGUUCAUCUCAAACAAGUCUAACAUGUGAAAACUCAAGUCACAAUAACAGGAGGUUCUUCCCACUCUGUAAAUAUUGUGUGAAUGCAGGAUUAACCAGCAGUGCUCGUGUUGAAGGAAGCAAAGGUGCCAACGAUAAAAAAUGACAAGUGGGGAAAUGAGAGAUGCUGAAUGCUUAGUGAUAACCUUGUUGAAAAUAAAAGUGAGAGUUUGUAUUUAGCAGGUUUGAGAUGGAAGUAACAAGAUGUUACUGUCACGUGUGAGAGUGGGGCAGCCAGGUAGAUGACCUAAAUACAGACUUGGCAGACAGACUGGUUGAAUGAGGCAAAACAAAAUCAAGCAAAACAAAGUCCAAAAGGGGAAGGGAGCAGGCAGGCAGGUCAAAGCCUCAGGAUCAGGUUGGCGAGAACAAAAGAGUCCAUGGAAGUAACUAUGAACUGGCAGAGAACAACCAGUAUAAGUAGAGAGGCACUAAUGAGGGAAUGGGCAGCAGGUGCAGACACAGGAGUGUAGAUGGGAAGAGGAAGGAGGGUCCAUGGGCAUCUGGUGGACAACUUUAGAAUAGCAGGUCUGGGGACUUGGAAGAGAGAACAUGGCCAGGGAGAAGAGAUGCAGAGAACUGGGGAUGAGAGUGUCCCUGCAGAGAGGGACUGAGCAGCAGACCAUGACAGUUGACUUACAAGCUUGUUUGAUAAAAAUAGCCACAUAACUACACACAAUGAAUUAAGCUGCUUCUUUUGUCAACAACACAUUUAAAUUGACAAGCUUGGGGUGUCUGUGACAGCUGGAUUCCUGGUAAAUCCCAGGCCUGGUAUCUAUUUUUAAAGCACUACCUAAAAAGCAAUGGCGUGUCAUUAUCACCAUGUCUAAGUCGCCUCACUUAGCUCCACUGCAGAAAGUACAUACAGAUGAUCGCAUGCAUGCAUUUCCCUGUUUGCUUUCACUCUCUCUCUCUCUCUCACACACACACCCACACACUUCUUAUUGGUGCCAUUAUGAAGGCAGGUGCCAUCAUCCAUUACAUACUGCCUCCGGCUUUCACAGACAGCAUCGGGUUAGGCAGGGUGGGCUCCUUCUUCUCAUUAACCCACCUCGACAGUUAGGGUGGUAAUCCCAGCCAUAUCAAUCAAUCCUAAAUGGUGGAAGCCUGCAGAAAAUGCUGUGUUAACGUAUUAACGAUUCCCCGGGGAGAGGAGGAGGGUACUAUAAAAUGCAAGUAGGUGAUGACGUUUCCUCCUUUACAUCUUCCUGUUUUGACAUGGAGGUUAUCGAAAGGCCUCAGAUAGUGAGUUUUUAGAUGCUUUACAGUCUGUGACAUUUGUAUUGUCAUAUUUAGUAACAAGGUGUCUUUGUUCAUUGUUUCUGUUGACGCAAUUCAUGAGGAAUGGGGUGUUUUUUUUCCUACUUUUAAUUAUUUAUCAUCUAGGUUUUGAAUAGGGUAUCUAGUUCUUGAAAGGCAGAAAAGCAUUGAAUUCAGCUUAAAAAAAGCUUCAGUAUUAAAAAGUCUUGACAGAAAUAUUAGUUAUAACUUUUUUGUAAGUGUUUGUGGGCUGUCUGGAGACAUUCUACAUCCAUAAACUAGUGAGACUGGUGCAACCAAGCUACAAUAGCUAAUAAGCUAAUCAAUUUUAGUUUCAGUUUUAGCAAAAGGUUAAAAGGACUUAAAUUAUUAAUUGUGUAAUUGGUUAAUCCAUUCAUUGAUUUUUUGCCACUUAACUGCGGGUCACAUUAAUUGACUUAACUAUAUUACUUGGAAUUAUUGAUCUAUACAGCACAAGUAAGUAAUAAUAAGUAAAUGUGUAAUAUAAAUGCCAUUGAAUUAAUGUAUUUCAUAAUUGCAGGCCUUUGUGUCCCUGCUGGUUUCUUAAUUCAUAAUUAAAAGAGCUACAGUCAAACCUCAAACAAUGAAAAACGAUGUAGAAAACACGAUGGAAGAAAUAUGACAUUUCUGUUUGUUUCAUAUACUAAUUUGAGGAGUGUUGCAGUCUCCUUAUCACUCAACACUGAUCUGAUGUUUUCAGCUCCUCAGUUGAGUGGAAGCUUCACGCUUCAUGUACGUCAUGAUUUAUUCACUAAGUCGGUUUCCAUUGCACUUCGAGGCAUUUUGAUUUUAUCACUGUAUCAGCCUAGCAUAGAAAACUCUUCCUGCAAUAUUUUGAGAUUUUUUUUCCCGUUCUAUAUGACUGGUGUGUGUUGCAGUUUGGACCUCUGCCCUGGUUAAAAUUGGGUGGAGCUAUGCUGGAAGUAGAUGUAUGAAUAACUUGCUUGCCUUGAUAGUUGAAACACAACUAAAAGAAAGUGAAAGAAAUGUCAAUAGGCCUUUUUCACAGCCGAUACUUUGACUUGUCAUUAAAAAAAAAACCACAGGUGUUACUAAUAACAUUAAGGGUGUUUUCAAACCUGCAUUGUUUAGUCCGAUUGAGUCAGACACUCUUUUAAUUUCCCCCUUUGUGUGAUUUUUUUGGGCAGGUCUGAACACAGCAGUCAUACUCAGGUGUGGACAAAAACAACUGUGCUCUGCAAGUUUGAGCUAAACAGCUCCUGUAACCAGGUGUGCUUUGCUUACUGGGCUGCAGAUGAGCGAAAUCAUCAGUUGCUAGCAGCUAGAUAGUGAAUUGAGGUCCAAACUGGACUAGCGCAACGAAAUAUGUAUUGUUUUGGUAUUUGGCAGAUAGGAGCUUUUUCAGGAGCUUCUUCUUGUGUUUACUGAACAAAGGGGAAAAACGCUACCAACUCAUCAACUGAUUCAGACCAAAGCAGACCUACUAUUGGUUUGAAAUUGCCCUAACAAUACCACUGUUCUAUUCCAAGUGUUCCAGUAAAUCAUGACAGUGUGACAGUGAGCCAUCAUGCACAAUAGUGGGACCCUGAAACUGAGGCAACUGGAAUGGAAUUCAGCCAUCAUUCAUUUUAUAAUGUAUUACAUCUAUUCUAUACUGUGACAUGUCAAAAUGUCCUCUGUUAAAAAAAGCCUAUCAAGCUUAGUCAAUACACCCACACAGUCCUCAGGAAGGUCAGGGUGGGUAGUGCCUUUAACCACCACAGGAAGCCUUUUUCUGCCAUUAAUUCUUAUGAUUCCUACACUUUCACCAUGACAACCCAUCACAGUAAGUAUGAUGCCUUUUGUCCACUUUGCCCACUGUCACCUGAUACCCACAGACAGAAAUAGAAUCCACUUACAGUAUUUUAACUCUAUAGCAGUUAAUUAGGCUGUAAAUGAAACCACAGAAUACAUUGAUGUUCAGAAAUGAGCGCCCAUAUAUUGCAGAAAGGCUGGAAGGAAUGUAAACUAUAGACAGAGUGAAGAAAUUACCAUGAACAUUAGAGUGGUUAGGUCAAUAAAGAUAGGAAGUGUCAUGGUAACAGACAACUUAUUAUUUUGAAAAGUAAUGAUUGAAUGAAUGAUAAUGUCUUGUUUUUGCUGCCUUCUUCAACAUCUUCUUACCAAGACUUUUGUUUGCCUGCCAACUUGGUGAGGUCAAGUACAUAAACACCAUGUUUUCCAGAGCUGUUCAGUAGAUCUGAGGCUUAAGUCUUCAUCAAACACCCAUGUUGUGUCUGGAAAUAAAAGCAGUGUUGCCAGUGAAAUGUCCUCAUACAUGUCUCAACCCAAUCGGUCAAAGCAGAUGGCUGCCCACCAAGAGCCGGGGUCUGCUUGAGGUUUCUACCCGU